Molecule: ribosomal RNA, 440 nt
Filed under: uncultured bacterium
Lineage: Bacteria
Description: partial 16S ribosomal RNA
Rfam family: Bacterial small subunit ribosomal RNA
Source: RNAcentral
CCUACGGGUGGCAGCAGUGGGGAAUAUUGCACAAUGGGGGGAACCCUGAUGCAGCAACGCCGCGUGGGUGAAGAAGUACUCCGGUAUGUAAAGCCCUGUCAGCAGGGAAGAAAAUGACGGUACCUGACCAAGAAGCCCCGGCUAACUACGUGCCAGCAGCCGCGGUAAUACGUAGGGGGCAAGCGUUAUCCGGAUUUACUGGGCGUAAAGGGAGCGUAGACGGCAAGGCAAGUCUGGAGUGAAAGCCCGUGGCCCAACCACGGGACUGCUUUGGAAACUGUGUUGCUGGAGUGCAGGAGGGGUAAGCGGAAUGCCUAGUGUAGCGGUGAAAUGCGUAGAUAUCACGCAGAACUCCGAUUGCGAAGGCAGCAUACCGGCGCCCGACUGACGCUGAAGCACGAAAGCGUGGGUAUCGAACAGGAUUAGAUACCCCUGUAGUC